Non-coding RNA from Meleagris gallopavo (turkey), 4219 nucleotides. Lineage: Eukaryota; Metazoa; Chordata; Aves; Galliformes; Phasianidae. The record is from RefSeq and is a predicted model, not a curated record.
UGUAAAACCACCUGAACUGCAGAUUUUUAUGCUGCUUUAAAUUAAAGGAGAUGAGCAGGAGAAAUCUGCAUCUUAAUUCCUCCAAAUGGUGCAGCGGGUAUCUGUGAGGUCUGUAACUGCACAGAGAGUCAUGCAAACGCUCAGCUGUCUUCAAACAACUGAUUUUGCAUUUUUGUCCCUCUGUACCAGGAAAUACAAACUAUUUCAUAUGCUCACAGUGAACACAUGUCUUCAUUUGGCAUCCCCGGCUCCCCAGCAAGAUCAUGCAGUUCACGGAAACUCAGAGAGCAACCCGUUUUGUAGCAUAUGGAAAGAGCAGGCAUGCGAAUGGGCUGCUGGGCCACAACUGUGGUGUGUUGGGGGUAAUGAGAGAGACGGGAGGCAAUUAAAUGAGGGAAAAGUGACAAUCUGACAACAGGCUCAAUUAAUGUAAUCAGAUCUCAUGUUUGCUGUGUGGAUGUAGUAAAUCAAAGAGUAAGUGGGAAUGAUAUGAACUUUUUAAUAUUAAAACUAUUCCCAUAGUAUGCAAACUCAGGGAAUACCAGUAAAUUUCUGCCUGUCUGUUGCCAAUCAGUAACUGAUUUAGAAUAGACUUUGUUGAGUAAUUACGCUUAAUAAGAGCUUGUCCAUACAAGCUGCUAUCAGAUGUCAUUUUAUACAGUUUCAAUCCAGAUAUAAUGGCUGAGCUGCACGCAUUAACUUUCUGUAAUACUGCACUGCCUUUUUAUGGGAGGGGGGUGGGAAAAUUCAAGAAUGAUCACUGUGUGGCUUCCUCUCAGACAGUUGUAUUUGAUCUAAUGUGAUUUAUUGCUGCACAUUUUGACUGAGCAGAAAUGUCUUGAGGGGAAACGAGAGACUUGUUGCAGUAAGUGUUUGCGUUAAUGUAUUUUCACCUGCUUGCUUGGUGGGCUCCACAGUUGGCUGCGUUCAUUGCUGUUUGGGAGCCUUCUGUAUUCCAAAGCAAUUCUAUAUCUGUUUGCUCUCUCUUGUAAGGAUGUAAUAGCUUCCCACACCCUCAACAAGAGGCGAUUGUGUAACUAAUCCAUGCUGGCACAACAAAGUCCUCACCUAGAUCACUAAUAUUGCUAAACAUAAAUGCAGGACAAAGGCAGACCUCAAAUAUUUUGAGUAAAGCACAGGGAAGUUUUCCAGGUAGGCCUAGAGGAUAGAAGUAAAGGAGAAGUGAAUAUGGGGGGCAGAGGCUCCGCUUCAUGUUAGAGAAGUUUGGGUGCUGCUGUUGCUCGCAGGCACAAAACCACAAGCAGUUUUCCUGGUUGCUUAAGGGCUUCUGGGUCCCCACAUAACGCAGCUUCUUCUUUAAUGCAUUGCCACUGUUUGUCAUCAGCAGAAAGAUGUGGGGAGAAGAACCAGAGGCUUUUCUAUCAUACUCUUUCUAAGAAAGGUAUAAACACUUAAAAGUCAUCAGACAUUUAUGCAUGAGUCUACCCACUCUGCCAUGUGAGGACGCAAGGCUCUUCUGCAGUUUAAAUACAGAAUGAGAAAUUUGGAAUGUGGUCUGAGUUGUGUCACCAAUGUUUUGCAUGGCGGUUGGAAAGGGCCAUAUCUUUAUAGAUUGCUCUAUCAAUGGUUCACUUCAGGAAUUUAUAAUUUCUUGGCAUUUGCACUCCCCAGGCCUGGUUGCAGUGAGCCAUGCCCACACAGAGCAGCAGCCCUGAGCAGGUGAGCUGCCUGCUGGGCAGGAUGGUGUGCACCGCUUCCCCAGGGACUUGCACUGCUUCUGUGCUGCAUGCUGUAUUGAUGUCACUUGGAGAUUUGAUUGUCAACAUCACAAAAACAGCACCAGGAAAAGCUACAAGAUACUGCAUAAAGCUCAGAAUGACUGAAAGCUGGAGGACUUCUUUUCAGGAGAUACAUUUUUCACUGGUGAUAGCAAAUGUGACCCACAGACAGAGGGAAGACCCAAAGCAUCAGGGAGGCUGAGCACAAGUGCCUUUCUUCUGCUGUUGGAAUCCAUCCAGGUCCUUCCAGGAUCUGCCCUGGAAGAGCUCAGCACCACCAGUUCCCACUGCUGCAGAGCUCUCCUGAAUCAUUUCCAAUUAAUUCAUUGCCAUUCAUUGCUGCGUGCAGCAGGGAUCCCUUGUUCAGCGUGCUUAAUUCUGGAACACAGAGCAACAAACUCACGUGGGAGGAGGUCAGGAGUGCCACCACUCUGCAGUUAUUUCACUCCAGGGACGAGCACAGAGGUCUGAGUAUCUCUGAUCAGCCUGUUUGUUUUAUCCAUUUCACAUCACUGUGUGAAAGCAAUGGGGGCAGAACGAUGCAGGGCUGCGCUUGAUCUCUCCGUACUGUAACAGGGGAGUGGCUGGGACAGCAGCUGCAGGAAUCGGUUUUGCUGUUAACAUGGAGGAAUCAAUUGGCUUUAACUUCAGUAACACUACAACUGUGCCCCAACCUCCCUGCCAGAGAGCAGCACACCCUCUGAGGGGCUCUGACUGCCCCAGCCACCCCCAGCCUGGCGCUCUGUCAGGUCCGUGUCUCUCCUGUAGCAGUCCAUAUCCAGAUGAAGCACUCCAGGUGAGGCUCUAUCCUUUCAUCCCCCAGCCUGUAUUGAUAGCAGGAAUUGCCACCACCCAGGUGCAAGACUCGGAUCUGUUGGACCUCACGAGGUUCAGGGGUGGUUCCUUCACAGUGCCACAUCCUUGCGAUGCUCUCUGCCUGCUCAGUGCUGCAGGGCAGCUUUCUGUGCACGUAUUCCCACUGACAGCUCCUGAUACGGAGCGGGUUUCAGGCUGCACUGAAGACCACGCUGGUUUCCAUUAUUUAUGGCUGAUUUGGAGACAGUGACACCACCAGCAGCCUCCCCCAGCCACCUUUAACCUUUCUGCUCCGUCCGCUGCCUCCCUGUCCCCGUGUAACACAGAGAUGAGAACCAAGCUCCCUGCUCCGGAUGGCAGUGUGAUUAUUGAGCAGAGUCACGCUAGCUACACACAGGCAAAUCUGCAACUGAUUAUGAGGUUUUUUUCUCAAUUAAUUGUCAGAAGCAAAGGGACGUUUGAUGUUUAAUGUCUUUUUCUUCUUGUUAAAUGCAUUCUCUUUGCCACCCGUUCUCAGACACUGGGAAUAGACAGAACUGCACAAUGCAAAGGCUGCCAAGUUGCACUGCAUUCAUGCAUAAUCCAUCUCAGGCAUUUGUCUCUUGUUUUGGAUGUUACACACAGGUCUGCAGGAGACUUUGCUUUUAGAUCCGUCGACAAAGUGACACUGACAUCUUAUUGAGAGGCACAGGAUGAAUCCUUCACUCGAGCUCAGGGCGUGAGGCUCAGAUGCUGUAUAUGUUCUUGGGACAGGGUGUGAGGAUGCACCUCUUGUGCUCUCCAUGGGCACAGACUGCGGCUGUCGGCAUUAUGGUUUGCCUGGGCUGUCCUCACACAUCUGUUUUGGACCAGGGAAGACACUUCCUGCCUUAAAAAGUCUUCCUUGGAGCUUCCUUGGAGGUGUUUCUUCACGUGGUCUGAGCCAGGAGCAGCCUGUGUCUGUGGGGGAAAAGUCAGGGAAGGGGGCUAGAAAGGGCUGUGAGAGGGAGAGGAAGAUGUGCUCUGUGCAACCAAGCAGCAGAGAUAAAUUUAAAGUGAAAAGUUGGGACUGGAGGGUCAGUUCUUCUGUGAGACUUUCUGCUUUUGUACUUAACCCAUAAACACAUCAACAGUUUGUGGACACUGCAUUUUACAAAAUAACAAACUCUUCCAGUACUUCAUAAAUUCAGAAGCUUUGCGCGGGUGCAAAGAGAAUCCAUUCACUUCUGAGUUGGGAAAACAGGGCUCAGCAUCCCAUGGUAUCUCGGUGCUGCUGAGGCCAUUUAGGGAGCAGAACACCUCCCAGCUGGGGAUGACGUCUUCAUCCCAAUCAGUGCAAAAUUUGUGCUCGUUCCUAUGGGGCUCCAUUUCAUCCUGAUCUUCCAUAAGUCUGCUCCAUUCUGUUGGUGCUGAAAGUGAAGCACAAGUUGGAAGAUUUGAACUAAUUGUAAUUGAGAGAGUUACUGGCAGAGCUCUGAUGAGAAUGUUGAGAAUUCCUGGCUCCAUCCUCUGCUCUGACCGCAGGCAGAGCUGAGCUGAUUGCAGAGCAUCUUUGGGAGGCUCCUUGUUGUAGACCCAGAAUGCUGAACUUUCAGGAAGACCUAAUGUAGAUUGGAAUGUAAUAAACAGCUCUGUAUCAAAACUGCACUUUUGUAACUCAGAAAUUGCCAGAGAAAGCAAAUAAA